This is a long non-coding RNA of Solanum verrucosum, 216 nucleotides long. RefSeq lists it as uncharacterized. The transcript has 3 exons. The record is from RefSeq and is a predicted model, not a curated record. NCBI's taxonomy places the organism in Eukaryota, Viridiplantae, Streptophyta, Magnoliopsida, Solanales, Solanaceae.
ACAACUGAUGAUACUCGCAUUCGAAUUGAAAUCGUCUUGGGUCGUUUGGAGCCGAGUAACAAUGUAUCCCGGGAGAUCACAAAAAUCUUUAAGGAAAAAUUGGAUCCUCAAGGACAUGAUUGGAAGUCAGUUACACCAGAGAUUAAGGACUUCUACUGGGAGGAGUUUAAGAAACGAUUCCAUUGGAAUACUGCAAUUGAAAGUUCCAUAAAGGAU